Molecule: transfer RNA, 59 nt
Filed under: Cordylochernes scorpioides
Lineage: Eukaryota; Metazoa; Arthropoda; Arachnida; Pseudoscorpiones; Chernetidae
Description: tRNA-OTHER
Rfam family: tRNA
About the family: Transfer RNA (tRNA) molecules are approximately 80 nucleotides in length. Their secondary structure includes four short double-helical elements and three loops (D, anti-codon, and T loops). Further hydrogen bonds mediate the characteristic L-shaped molecular structure. tRNAs have two regions of fundamental functional importance: the anti-codon, which is responsible for specific mRNA codon recognition, and the 3' end, to which the tRNAs corresponding amino acid is attached (by aminoacyl-tRNA synthetases). tRNAs cope with the degeneracy of the genetic code in two manners: having more than one tRNA (with a specific anti-codon) for a particular amino acid; and 'wobble' base-pairing, i.e. permitting non-standard base-pairing at the 3rd anti-codon position.
Source: RNAcentral
CCAUCGGUGGUUCAGUGGUAGAAUGCUAGCCUGCCCGGGUUCGAUUCCCGGCCGAUGCA